Long non-coding RNA from Bos taurus (domestic cattle), 2974 nucleotides. The record is from Ensembl. Lineage: Eukaryota; Metazoa; Chordata; Mammalia; Artiodactyla; Bovidae.
ACUGGGGAGGGGCUGGGGGGUGGGCAGCAGGUCCUUGCAUAUCAGUCACUGUCACUUUAUGUUCUGGGGACUACCCCUGUUCUCCAAGGACUGACUUUUCACAGUUGGAAUUUCCAGCCCUCGGGAGACAGAGAAGGCAAAGGGACAAAGCACUUGGGAGGCGAGCCCUGCACCUCUCUGAGCCUCUUCUGUAGCUGGGUAGGAGGAUGUGGAGACUGCCUGUGAACAGCCCUGACAACUUGCCUGGCAUGUGACAGCCGCUCUCUCUCUGGAUCGGAACCUGCGGUACUCUGCCUCCUGAGAAAUGUGGGCUGUGAUGGACGACUAGAUGGUGCCCCAACUAAGAUGAAGAACACGGCGCCGGGGGCAGCAGACACCAGGAGAAUCAAUAAACUAUAAUUAUCAAGAGCGGUGUCUGUGAGAGGUGUGGAGUCCUGUGGACAGAGAGAGACAGAGGAGGGGGCGAGAGCGAGACACACGCACAUCCUGAGAGAUGCAGAAGACGCAUGCGCCCAAGGACGCGAAAGCCAGAAGGGAGAAGCAGAAUGGGUGUGAUGUACACAGGCCCUCCACCCCUGCGCCGCACCCCGCCCCACCCCCGGCCCCAACCUUGCUGAUGGGCCUGGCAGAAGGUGCAAGAGCAGGUCUCCCACCUAUUUAUAUAGCCCUCAGCUUUUUACAUUCUCCAAGUCCUCAGCCAUAUCAUUUUUUUGCAUUACAAAAAGAAUAUCAGAGCCUCAAUAUAAGAAUGGAUUCCACUGAUAACAUCAAAUCCAUUCAUUUGAUUAGGCUGAGAUGCGAAGUCAAUAUAGAUUGCAAUAUAUUGCUUUAGAAACAUGACUUCCACAUCACCAGGGUCUUCAUCGUCCCUGAGUUUACCACUGUCCUCUGGGCCCACCACUACUCCAUGCGGUUUUUGAUCCAGCACUUCUGGAACUGAUGUACGAGACUGUCACCAGGAGUUCUUGAGGAGCCUCGUGUACCCGCUGCUGUCAGUGAGCUCUGCCUGUUGCUGCUUAACCUGAUAUAGUGUGAAGCCCUCUUGAAAUGCUACCUUUUCUGAUCCCCAACACUUGAGGUCUCACCACUCCCCCGAGAAAGGAUUAUUGAAUCUGUGUUCAUUUUCUUGGCCCCAUUUGAUCUGGGAACCUAGUGACCUUUAUCAGCACACAACUGGCCUGAUUUGAAGUCAUUUGGGGUUGGUGUGUCUUCUGAAUUUAUUAGAGAGGUUCUCAUAGGAGGCAUGCUUUUGUGACACUCAGAUUGUCAGAGUCCCUCCCCAUGUCCUUUUUUAAGGUUAGUAUUUUUUUUUUUUUUUAAACAAACGCAUGCAAACUAGUUUUACUUUGGGCUUUAUUGUGUGCCUGGCACCAGCCUAAGCAUUUUACAAGCAUUAUCUCAGUCAGCACUUAAUCUCAAUGGCACCAAUAGCAACUAUUUCUUCCCUCAUUUGUGGGAGCUAUUUCUUCCCUCCCUGUCACAGAGCUCACAGGUGGCCAAGCUUAGUGGAUGCCCAGGCCAGCCUGGAAGCCCGGGGCCAUCACCACCUUUCCCAGAGAGGAAACUGAGCCUGAACAGAUUAACACCCAGGGCCUCACAGCUCACCAGAGUUAAGUGACCAGACGGGGUUGGAUCAGGCCCCCCAACUCCCAGAGAAGUUGAAGUGAAAAUGAAGGUACACAAUAAAACCCAGCCUGCAUUGGGGGUCUCCAGGAUGGUCCCACACUUCCCCCCAUCUCCUUCCUACCACCUUGAAGGAUGCACACAGCCUUUCCAGCUCUAGGGGACACAUGGCCGCCCAGGAUCCCAGGCGGCAGGGACACAGGGCUCCUCUGAAUUCUCUUUCCAUUCUGGAUUGGGGGCAGGUGGGGGGACCAUCCAUAAAGCUCCCUCUGGCUUAGAAGCAGAAGGAAGAGACCUGUGUGUGUCCACUUGGCUGAGGGAUCCUCGGUGAGAAGACUGUUCCUGGGUUUGGGUGGCCAUCAGGCGCAGGCACCCACAGCUCUCACCUGGUGCGGAUGCGUGGAGAGGUUUGGAAGCUCUAGGAGAAGAAAGAUGUUGGGAACAAAUAAUACCUGCUGAGACACUCUGAUGAGAGCAUGGGAUGAGAGGACUUCCUGAACCAUGAUGUGCUCCCUGCUCCCUCGACCCCACUGGAACAGGCGUGUCCUCACUUCCUGGGGCUGGAGUGCAAAAGUAGAAAGUCAAGAAAGCUGGAGUAACAGGCAAAUUUGGCAAACACCCUCUUCCAGCAACACAAGAGAAGACUCUACACAUGGACAUCACCAGAUGGUCAACACCGAAAUCAGACUGAUUACAUUCUUUGCAGCCAAAGAUGGAGAAGCUCUAUAUAGUCAGCAAAAAUAAGACGAGGAGCUGACUGUGGCUCAGAUCAUGAACUCCUUAUUACCAAAUUCAGACUUAAAUUGAAGAAAGUAGGGAAAACCACUAGACCAUUCAGGUAUGACCUAAAUCAAAUCCCUUAUGAUUAUACAGUGGAAGUGAGAAAUAGAUUUAAGGGCCUAGAUCUGAUAGAUAGAGUGCCUGAUGAGCUAUGGAAUGAGGUUCAUGGCAUUGUUCAGGAGACAGGGAUCAAGACCAUCCCCAUGGAAAAGAAAUGCAAACAAGCAAAAUGGCUGUCUGGGGAGGCCUUACAAAUAGCUGUGAAAAGAAGAGAAGCAAAAAGCAAAGGAGAAAAGGAAAGAUAUAAGCAUCUGAAUGCAGAGUUCCAAAGAAUAGCAAAAAGAGAUAAGAAAGCCUUCUUUAGUGAUCAAUGCAAAGAAAUACAGGAAAACAACAGAAUGGGAAAGACUAGAGAUCUCUUCAAGAAAAUUAGAGAUACCAAGGGAACAUUUCAUGCAAAGAUGGGCUCAAUAAAGGACAGAAAUGGUAUGGACCUAACAGAAGCAGAAGAUGUUAAGAGGAGGUGGCAAGAAUACACAGAAGAACUGUACAAAAAAGAUCUUCACGACUC